GGGGACGUAGUUCAACUGGCAGAGCGUCUGACUCCAGAUCAGAAGGUUGCGCGUUCAAAUCGCGCCGUCCUCA
The sequence is a transfer RNA, 73 nucleotides long. It matches the Rfam family "tRNA". Rfam says of the family: Transfer RNA (tRNA) molecules are approximately 80 nucleotides in length. Their secondary structure includes four short double-helical elements and three loops (D, anti-codon, and T loops). The record is from Rfam.